This 253-nucleotide ribosomal RNA is filed under the name uncultured bacterium. Its description in RNAcentral is "partial 16S ribosomal RNA". It matches the Rfam family "Bacterial small subunit ribosomal RNA", at positions 524 to 776 of the family's 1533-position model. The record is from RNAcentral.
UACGUAGGGUGCAAGCGUUGUCCGGAAUUAUUGGGCGUAAAGGGCUCGUAGGCGGUCUGUUGCGUCAGGAGUGAAAACUCGGGGCUUAACCCCGAGCCUGCUUCUGAUACGGGCAGACUAGAGGUAUGCAGGGGAGAACGGAAUUCCUGGUGUAGCGGUGAAAUGCGCAGAUAUCAGGAGGAACACCAGUGGCGAAGGCGGCUUUCUGGACGGUAACUGACGCUGAGACGCGAAAGCGUGGGGAGCAAACAGG